UCUCCCUCUUACCCUUCCUAGAUCGACGCCCCUUCCUCUCCCGAUCGAGAUCGACGCCCCUGCUCCUCCGUCCAACCACACCGCCUCUCCUCUACCUCCUCCCUUUGGGUGAGAAGAGGAGCCCUUCUUCGUAUUUCUAGAAAGGAGAGGUGAUGAGUUGGUCUUGUUUUCUAGGGUUUUGUUGUCGUCGGAUCUCAGAGUAGUAGCGGCGGAGGGAGGCAAGAUGAAGACAACCAAAAGGGGAAAGGUGAUGAACCCCACCGAUGUCUACCAGAAAGAGAUACGGAAGGAGAUCAAACAGACUCAGUUGCUGCUGGGAAAGGUAGAGCUUCUUCCUACUUGGUGGUGUUUCUUAGUAUCCAUGACAAGGACUGGGUAUUCUUUCUUUAUGCUGGGAUGAGCAUUAGAUUUACUCCCUUGGCUGGUAGCCGCUUGCUGUAGUUGCAGCAUUCAUUUGCUGUCAGUGUUUCAGCAUUAGAUUUACUCCCUUGGCUGGUAGCCGCUUGCUAUAUAUAGUUGCAGCAUUCAUUUGCUGCCAGUGUUUCUAGAUGCUUCUUUUGAGUUAUUUAAAUGAUUCAGAUUUCACAAGACCCUCAUUUGUACUCCGGAGAAACUCUCUGUAAGGGAGGGAGUUGAUUCAAGGAGCAACAAGAGCAGCAGGUACUAUGGAUGCUCUCGCAGGAUCGGCCUUAGAUGCUUGGAUGAAUUUCUGUGGAGAAUGGAGAUUCCUCCUGUGUCGAUCAAGGGACUUUUGAUUCUUGUGGUUUUAGCCAACUAUUUUACUCUUCUACAUGCACCAACAAUAUCCUUGUCAGUUCCAUAAAUGUGGUCCUAAUUAUUGGAUUCUUGCUCAAAUUUGUUUGCAAGUUGUCAAGCAGAUCUGUCAGUGUUCAUCUGUAUUUUAGUUUGCCUUCAUUAUUAUGAAACAUCUCUGCUGUGUUCAGUUCUUUGUUGGGAAUAAGCUAUUUAUUUCUUGGAUCAUGGAUGCUGGCCUCUAAUAUGAGGAUAGGCACGGGCAUCCAUCCUCCACAUCAGUGGUUUGUCUUGUUAGCUCAAGGCUUUUGUUUGGUACUCAUUACUCUUACCCUCAGCAUCAGGCACAUACAAGUUGGCUUUACAUUCAUUAGGAUCUGGUUAGUGGGUGCAGCCUGCUCUAUUGGAUUUGUGUGCUUUUCUUCUAUUUUAGAGGUCCUGGUAGAUAACGAGGUGUCUUUUUUAGGUUACGUUGAUCUUUCAUCCUUGGUAGUUUUUUUUGUUCUCCUUAUUGUCAGAUUAUGACUGGUUUCGAAAUUGAGUUAUUACUUAGUUUCACAUAUGAAGCUGUUAGGUUGUUGAUGCCAUCUUUUCCCUGGGUAGUAUCAAUGUUAUUUUCCUCUCACUUAUAAGCAUUCAAAACUUUGGAUCAUUAUUAUUGCUUGUACUUUGUGGUCUAGGUUUGGUUUGCAGUCAUUGCGUUAUUCUUUGAGAGGAUUAACAAGGUUAUCAGAAUUCACAUGAAAGAGACAAACCAAAAGACGGGAUUUGCAUGAAGCAAAUAGGUGGUGAACUAAUAAUUCACUUAGUCUAGAAUCUAGAAGAGUGUCAGUUGCUUACUUAAUUCUGUUGGGUUAUGAGAUAAUUCAUGAUGAAGGUGCUUGAUGGCUAAUACCACUUGCAUUGUCAGUCAUUAAUUGCUUUGCAGAGACAUGCCAGUUAUAUUGUUUACCUUUGUGAUAUCGAAUAUGAUUCGCGAUAGGAUCAAACGGGACGACCCACACAACAAGAUCAAAAAGAGUUCGUACACAAAUGAAUAAGCUUGUUGUUCAAAGGGUUCAGGGAGUUAAACAAAGUGUGAAAUUUAAUGAGUAUGGACAGCCAGUGGGCCAAAAGGCUUCUGAAUUGCAGAGUUUUAUUGGUGUGCUUGCUCGGAAAAAAGUUAAUAUUAAUUACCACUCUUGGAAGCAAGUGCCGAAUGAAGUCAAGAACAUGAUAUGGGAAUCUGUCAAUUUGACAUACCAACUGGACCCAAAAUGGAGAAAUGGGUGUUUGAGCUCUGCAAAUUCAAAGUGACUUCAGUAUAAAACUCACCUCACUAGGACAUUCAUCCAACCAAAUAGAAAUAAUCCGAAGCUUCUCAACAAGGUACCUCAAGGGCAUUGCAUUUCACUUGAAGAUUGGAGUAGUUUUGUGAUUAAUCGGAUGUAUGAAGACUUUAUAACAAAAAGUGAACUACAAAGUCAAAGAAGCAAGGCAAACUUAUAUCCUCACCGUCUUUCUCAAAAAGGAUAUGCGGGUUUAUCUGAAGAAAUAUUUACAAAUCUCAAGUACUCUAGAGUUGAAAUUGAUGAAGUGUGGUUCGAGUGGGCUGAA
RNA transcript from Zingiber officinale, 2349 nucleotides. RefSeq lists it as uncharacterized. Lineage: Eukaryota; Viridiplantae; Streptophyta; Magnoliopsida; Zingiberales; Zingiberaceae. The transcript has 6 exons. The record is from RefSeq and is a predicted model, not a curated record.